This is a long non-coding RNA of Panicum virgatum (switchgrass), 5350 nucleotides long. RefSeq lists it as uncharacterized. NCBI's taxonomy places the organism in Eukaryota, Viridiplantae, Streptophyta, Magnoliopsida, Poales, Poaceae. The record is from RefSeq and is a predicted model, not a curated record. The transcript has 6 exons.
UUUCUCAUUGUUUUAUCGCUGCUACAGGAGGAUCUCCCCCUUCCUCCAGCUGGGCUUGCCACGGUAGAGAUGCUGGCGGCACUACCACAAGCCAUCCCCGCCGCCGCCUUCCAGCAGAUCAUCCUGUGGGACCGCACCAACCUCAGGGCGGUCCUUCCUCCGCCGUCCCUCCCAGGUCUCCUCCUGCUCCCGUACAUGGACUACGUCCCCGCCGCCCCACGCCCCGCUCCCGCUGACUUGGCUGCCCCCACCCAUCCGCUCGUGCUCUGGGGCCUCGUCGCGGGGUUGGAUCUGCGCUCCCUGCCGCGUCUCGCUCCGCCGCCGCCCUCCGCUCCCAUCUGCUCACCUCAUCUGGCGCCCGGCGCAGCCACAGCACACUGUCGGCUUCUCGUCGGUAGUUGUUGAAAUUUCAGUUUUGAUCAUGACUACUGGAGUGCUUGCUGGGUUGAUUGCCUGUGAUGGACAGAGUGUACAUAUGAAGGUCCAAGCUCCAAGGCAUACUACUCCUUAAAAAUAGUUUUCAUCCUCAGAUGGUAGGGCUAGACCUAGUGCUGGUCAAUCCAUCCCGGAUGUCUUUUUCUUUGUUGUAGGUUUGAGUUAGUUCCCAGAUGGUAGGGUCUGACCUUGUGCUGGCCAAUCCAUAUACUGGAUGUUUCUGUCGAGAAAUUGGCUUAGGUCUAAUAAAAAAAGUUUGGGUAUGAGCAAUUCCUUUUCUCACUUGGAGAAUUUCUCAUUUGAUCAUCUCAUUCUGUACUUUAACGUCAGGCCAAUCAAUGUUUUGUUGACAUUACUGCAAUUGGCACUAGGCACUUUAUAGCAAAUAAGGAUCUGAUGAAGGUGAAUUGUUGGCAAACGGUUAAGUGAAAAAUCCAUCAUCAGGGCACAAUUUAGAUGAGGCAAAGUCGAGAAGUUGAUCACUUGUUUCAGGGGAUAGCAUCUGCCAUGAGGUUGUGCACCUGAUCAAUGUCUCAAUAAAUUUGUGAAUAUAUUGUGGGCAUUUCCUGAAUUUCAAGGAAUUAUGGCACAAGACUUAUCUUCAAUGGGCAAAGGGGUAUGCUAUGCUGCCAAUCAAUGUUCCUGGUGAAAAAUCAGAACAACGCCCGACGCUUCGGUAGCUUCGCCUGAUCCUGCCCCUCCACAUCCGCCAUCGCCAAACAUAGCGUUGAUCGAAGGCUGUCAUCUCUACUGCUGCUGUGGAGGAACCAUUCAAACUUAAAGGCAAAUUGGGCCAUUGGGGUGGGAGUUUUACAUUGUGGCUGGAAAUAUAGAAAAUAAACCCAUACACCAAGACGGUAAAUACUUUAAUUACUGAAGAAGAGAUGUUUAAUUAGUCAUUGCAGUUUUAUGUCCUUAUUUCUCUUGCAAAUAACUGUGUAGAGAAAGAUUACAGUAUUGAUCUGUGAUUUGUUUAGAGUAGAAGUGAAAAGGGCAAGCCUUUAUUGUAUAAAGAGUAAAAUGCAUUGGGGGUCCUUAAACUAGUUGACAUGUUCUGUUUAGGUCCAUAAACUUCGAAAAUGCAUUUUUAGGUCCAUGAUCUAUUCAAGUGUGUCACUUGAGGUCCAAAACGCCUCUGACCAGUGCUGACUGCCUACGUGGACCGCCACGUCUGAUCCAACGUGGCCGUUGGCCGCCCCGCAUGCUCCGCUGGUUCGCCCUCAUCUCCCCUUCAUGCUCUGACUCGCCGGCCGUAUCCGCACGCGGCGGGGUGGGCGGGCGGCGCGAUGAGCGGCCGGCGCGGCGCUGCGGGCGGCCAGGGCGGGGGAAGCCUGCGCGGAGGCGGAGGAGCCACACGGUGCGGCGCGGCGCGGCGCGGAGGCGGCAGAGCAGGGGCGGCCGGAGGAGCGCGCGACGACGGUGGAGGGCUCGAGCUCCGCCGCUCCCUCUCCUUUGUGCGCCGGCGAGGGCUCGAGCUCCGGGUGUCCCGCGCCAUGGCUGAGCUCGCCCGAGCCGGCCGACAUCUCCCACGCCCCAGCAAAGGUGGCCACGCCGGGAGAGCACAGGUGGUCGCGGAGGAGCAGGGGCCCCCGAUGGCGGGCCUUGCGAAGGCGGAGGAGCAGGGCCCCACCCCCGACGGUGCCAUCCCCUGCUCCCUCCGCCGCGCGCGCCGCAGGCCCGCACCGCCCGCAUCGUCGGGGCAGUGAGCGAGCUCUAGCCCCGGCGUGGAGUCCUCGUCGGGCGGCAGCUUCCUUCCCCUUUUCCCUCUCCCUCGUGCGUGGCCGUGGCGUCACGCCGAGCGGCAGCGGCGAGCUGCUGUGCGCAGGGCCACGGCGGCGAGCUGCUGUGUGCGGUGGCCAUGGCGGCGACGGCCGGAUCCGUGCAGGGCCAUGGCGGUGGUGGCCGGCUCCUGCAUCGCCGGUGAGGCACACGCAGUGGCCAACGGCCACGUUGGAUCGGACGUGGUGGUCCACGUAGGCGGUCAACGCUGGUCAGAGGCGUUUUGGACCUCAAGUGACACACUUGAAUAGAUCGUGGACCUAAAAAUGCAUUUUCGAAAUUCAUGGACCUAAACAGAACAGCUCAACUAGUUUAAGGACCCCCAGUGCAUUUUACUCUUGUAUAAAUAAGAACAAUUGUCUACUGAUGAAUUUUAGCCAAACUAAACUAUACUAUUUUCUGGCUGAGAAAUGGUUAAUUUGUCAUUGCAACAAAACCAUAUCAUCUGAUGAAUUGAAUAUUGUGAAAAAAAUUGUAGGUCUAAAUUGUAGCAGAGGUUGAAUCUGUUGAAUUGAAUUUUUCCAUGCAUUACCAAUUUCUGAAUUGGAUUAUAUGUCUUUGCACUCUUCUAAAUUCAGUUCUGAUAAUUAAGGUUCUCGAUCAAAUGCAUUACUAAUCUUUCUACCAGUCCUUUCAUGUUGCCUGCAGUUAGUAAUUACUCAUCCCAGGUUAAAGUAGUCGAAUCCUGUGAUAAUUAUUAAUAGAGUUUCGAAUAUAGAAUUAAAUUCUCACCUCAACACAAUGAUACAAUAACUAAUGUAUUUUCCAUGGCCAUGUAUGACGACCGUGUUAGAUCUCAUUUAAUUGGCAAAAAUAGGAUGAUCACAAGCUGUCUAUACAUGGUUAGAUUGGUUCAAUGGGGAUUAGAUAAAUUUCUCAUGAUGAAAGAAUCUACUUUCUGAAACAAUUUUUUCUCUGAACAUCUGUAGCAAUUGUGCUCUGGCUUGUCUGAUAAAAAAAAAUCUACAACCUGUUUUAUGGAAAAAAAGCUCAGAUUGUUGGAGGAAAAAAAACAAAGAAGGAUGGUUCGUUUCUGCAAUGUUUUUUUUUCUCGAACACAUCUAGAACAUGUACUUUCUUCCCAUUGGAUGAACAUCAUUAGUUGGGGAGAUUAGUUCUUGUUAUUAGUUGGAUCUACUAGAAACCGCUUUGUCAUGCCUUUUUUUGUUUUUGGUCUGGUGUUUGCUCCAUAUUUCAUAUUAUUUUGUCGGUGAACAUACAAGGGUAGGAUAUAGGUCUGUGGGGUGUGUUUGGUUGAGCUAUGGCUUUUGUAAAAGCAGCUGUAGGCUGUGACUUUCUGAAAAGUAGAUUAGGAAAAGUAGCUGUGAGGAAGCCAAAAGCCUCUUUGGUUCGUGAGCUGUGGCUUCUCAAACACUAGUCUCAUUGAUGUGCGUGACCCACUUGUCAGCCAUUCCUCUUCCUCCCUAGGAUGUACAGCGCACACGGGAGGAGUCUCGCCAGAGAGGGGUGGAGCUGCGCCGGAGCCAUGGCCGCGCCGCGCCGGAGCCGUGGAAGGAGCAGAGGCGGGCAGGGUUGCCAGGGAGGGACGUGGAGGGCCGAGAGCCGUGCCGGGGAUGGACAAUCUUUAAAAACCAAAACGUGAGUUCAAGCGCGGGCCAGGGAUUGGGCCACGUCGCCUACAAAGCCAGGCCGUGGGAUUAUGCAUCAACGGUUAAGGACGUAGGCACGGGUAGGCUCACGGCCCUCUUCUCGACGCUUCGCGAUCCGUUGGCAGCCGUCGCCGCCAGGCGCUGCUCCAUCCGCGAAACCUCGCCGAUUUCCCUUCCUGCACAGUUGCACGCCUCGAUGGCUCGAUAUGCUACAGCCAGUGGUUCUCAGAAGGUGAGGCCGUGACAAAGAGCACUCUGUGCCCCCGCGCCCCCGCCGCGGCAGCGGCACCGCCCACCUUCGGGCGGUCUGCCCAGCUCCAGCAAGCCAACCAUGCGGCAGCUUCCAUCCAGCAGACCCCAAGCUGGGCACCGGUUCAACAACGUUAAAUUAGCUGGUAUCUGCUGGAUUGGACUAGAGCUUUCAGGGCGCAGUUUGAGCUUCUGGAUUUAAUGCAUAGGUACGCUACUGUAUAUCCCAAGUCUGUUCCCUACAAGCUGGGCACCGGUUCACUUGGGAAUUUGGGAUACGAAUAAGCUCCACUCAGAUAUAGAAGGUGAGUUUGUUCUCCUGUUGAUGAUUACAGAUGGGGAUGCUCGCUUGCUAUGCCAAAUUAUCAGAUAUCUUGAUCAUCAGUUAUCAGUGAAGUGUUCUGAAAUAUUCAGUUUGGGUGAGUGCAAAUGAUUUUAACUGCAUCACCUAAAGGAUCGUAGCAAAUUAUAUGCCACAGUCCCCAGGCUAUAGGAGCAAUUUAAGCAUAGAGAGUGGACUGUCAUUUUCUAAUGGAUGAAAUUCACCGACCUCUGUUCGUAGAUAAAAUGAACUGAUCCUGCCCUUUCCUCACACCUAAAACGACCUGAACUGGAGGCAAGCGGCAAGCCAAUGCCCUACCAACAUGACAUUCAUUUUUCAGACAAGAAAAGUCCAUCAUAGAGAUGAAGUGGCACACCUCUCCAAUAAUAUUUGUGCUAUUGGCAUUGUUUCUCAACUUGGACAUUAAAGUCGACGUGGUUGUAUGCUACAACCAGGACUCCAGUUCACUUGGAUGCGAAGCUCUAUGCGAUGAUCAAGGGCCAGCUUAGCUUAUGCAAAUGACCAUGAGGUUCCACCUACUUUCACGCAAGAACUCCACUAUCUGAACAAGGAGGACAGGCUGCUUCGCUGGCUGGUUGGGAAGCAUGGAGACAUGGUAUACGGUCUGGAGUUCAUCAACGAGGAUGAUGGAAGGAACAAGAUGAGCGGGAUAUCGAAAUCGGCCCCGAUGAACCCGAAUUUGAGUUCCUCUGAUGGCUACAAGUUGUUCGAGGGGGAGGAAGAGAAGUAGAAUUGCCUGUCCAGGCUUCUGCAGUUUCAGUCUGUAUUGGCAUCUCUCAACCGUCGUGGCUGCCGCGCGGUUUUCUAUUGCUUGCGGUUUGCAUCAACAACUUGGAAUGGUUUUAGUAAGAUAGAUUGGUGAUAUUACCCUUAUUGUGAAGUCUAAUGGUGAUUUUGCUCUCAGUUUUUAAACUUUGCGAUUUUGCCCCUCCUA